This 722-nucleotide unclassified non-coding RNA is filed under the name Hevea brasiliensis (rubber tree). The record is from RNAcentral. Lineage: Eukaryota; Viridiplantae; Streptophyta; Magnoliopsida; Malpighiales; Euphorbiaceae.
GUUUUGAAAAUGCGGACUGAACCCCCUCAAUAAUUUUUUCUUGUUUGUUGGCUCUUUGAGUCAUAUGCUAGUAAGUCCAAAGCCAGACAUCUCUAAGGCUGAGGAUAACUCGAUGAACUGACGUCCACAACACCUCCAUCGACAGAAAAUGUCCAUUUCAAUGGCCUUGUUCUCUCCUCCUCUGCCUACCCAAGUCCUACGAUCCCUCUCCUUCAAACCCUGUUUCACCCAUAAACCCGCUCGCUUUCUCAGACCCGCUAUUCCUUCCCUUCUCCUCUCCCCUCCAAAAUCCUCCACUGACAAUGGUGCUGGAAUUUCAGCCUCUGUAGAAGAACUAAAAGCGGAGGAAAAGGUUGCUCAGCCUUCUGGGUCUGCACCGGGGGCCGAAGAGAGCACUUUGGGGUCCAAUGGCACGGUGGCGGAUGCUGAGGUGAAGCCGGAAAGUAAAUUUAUAGAACCUAGAUGGGUUGGAGGGACUUGGGACUUGAAGCAGUUUCAGAAAGAUGGGAAAACUGAUUGGGAUGCUGUAAUUGAUGCCGAGGUUAGGAGGAGAAAAUGGCUUGAGGGAAAUCCAGAAUCAUCCCGCAAUGAUGACCCUGUAGUUUUUGACACCUCAAUCAUUCCAUGGUGGGCAUGGAUAAAAAGAUUCCAUCUACCUGAAGCGGAACUACUUAAUGGCCGUGCUGCGAUGAUCGGAUUCUUUAUGGCUUACUUUGUGGAUA